RNAcentral lists this ribosomal RNA (253 nucleotides) under uncultured bacterium. RNAcentral describes it as "partial 16S ribosomal RNA". It matches the Rfam family "Bacterial small subunit ribosomal RNA", at positions 524 to 776 of the family's 1533-position model. The record is from RNAcentral.
UACGUAGGGUGCAAGCGUUAAUCGGAAUUACUGGGCGUAAAGCGUGCGCAGGCGGUGCUGUAAGUCAGAUGUGAAAUCCCCGGGCUCAACCUGGGAACUGCAUUUGUGACUGCAUCGCUGGAGUGCGGCAGAGGGGGAUGGAAUUCCGCGUGUAGCAGUGAAAUGCGUAGAUAUGCGGAGGAACACCGAUGGCGAAGGCAAUCCCCUGGGCCUGCACUGACGCUCAUGCACGAAAGCGUGGGGAGCAAACAGG